This 301-nucleotide ribosomal RNA is filed under the name uncultured bacterium. RNAcentral describes it as "partial 16S ribosomal RNA". It matches the Rfam family "Bacterial small subunit ribosomal RNA", at positions 509 to 807 of the family's 1533-position model. The record is from RNAcentral.
CAGUCGCCGCGGUAAAACGUAGGGUGCAAGCGUUAAUCGGAAUUACUGGGCGUAAAGCGUGCGCAGGCGGUUUGUUAAGACAGAUGUGAAAUCCCCGGGCUCAACCUGGGAACUGCAUUUGUGACUGGCAAGCUAGAGUGUGGCAGAGGGGGGUGGAAUUCCGCGUGUAGCAGUGAAAUGCGUAGAUAUGCGGAGGAACACCGAUGGCGAAGGCAGCCCCCUGGGCCAACACUGACGCUCAUGCACGAAAGCGUGGGGAGCAAACAGGAUUAGAUACCCCCGUAGUCCCUGUCUCUUAUAC